GAUGAACGCUGGCGGCGUGCCUAAUACAUGCAAGUCGAGCGAACGGACGAGAAGCUUGCUUCUCUGAUGUUAGCGGCGGACGGGUGAGUAACACGUGGAUAACCUACCUAUAAGACUGGGAUAACUUCGGGAAACCUGAUCUAAUACCGGAUAAUAUUUCGAACCGCAUGGUUCAAAAGUGAAAGACGGUCUUGCUGUCACUUAUAGAUGGAUCCGCGCUGCAUUAGCUAGUUGGUAAGGUAACGGCUUACCAAGGCAACGAUGCAUAGCCGACCUGAGAGGGUGAUCGGCCACACUGGAACUGAGACACGGUCCAGACUCCUACGGGAGGCAGCAGUAGGGAAUCUUCCGCAAUGGGCGAAAGCCUGACGGAGCAACGCCGCGUGAGUGAUGAAGGUCUUCGGAUCGUAAAACUCUGUUAUUAGGGAAGAACAGAUGUGUAAGUAACUGUGCACAUCUUGACGGUACCUAAUCAGAAAGCCACGGCUAACUACGUG
RNAcentral lists this ribosomal RNA (497 nucleotides) under uncultured bacterium. RNAcentral describes it as "partial 16S ribosomal RNA". It matches the Rfam family "Bacterial small subunit ribosomal RNA", at positions 28 to 507 of the family's 1533-position model. The record is from RNAcentral.